CCGGCUUUGAUGCGUCUGGGAAAAUUUCCAUGUUUACCGCCGCGGCCCCUCUCGUCACGGCGAAGUGUGCAAUAAUGUUCCACACUCAUGCUUUUGUUUCCCUGCUGCAUCCUGGGUCAACGACAGAUGGAUGAGUCCAAUUUGAAACGCCGCUUUUAUUUCCAGUGCAGAGAGGAAGCUUCAAACACACACCUGUGGCUGAGGGACGCGCGUCAGGAACGAAAUUAGCGGAAUGGGAAUAACCUGGUGUACUCUCAACAGCUUUAGGGGACUUGCGCUCUCAACGCAUCAUUGGUACUCCAUUAGUGAUCAGAAGACGAGCGCACAGGCGCCACAAUUGCCUUUUAAAGCGCUUUAAAGGCGAGCGGCUCCACCGGCAUACCGAUCAGCCGGGGAACAAAAGGCAAUAUUCAUCUCGUCGGUCACGUGGAACGUGGUCACAAAGAACUGGACUGACAUUCCUCACCUACAUCCAAUUAAAAUCACGGCCCACGUCCGGGCUGCCAGACUCUCUGCCCUCCCAGAUUGUGAUGGAAAGAAUGGAAAGAAAAUGAAUCCCGUCCAGCUCAUCCGGAAGGUAAAUGACUUUCACAUAAAUCCCAUACGUGUUUGGAAUCAUCUGGGCUGGAACCGUCCUGGGCCUGAAGCACCAACAGGCAUCACAACAUUGAUGAAUUUAUCAAUGCUGACGGGCUUUUUGAACACUUUAGACUCUUUUUAAUCACCGUUUUGGCCCCGGUGAUUAAUUUUUAUUGAUAAUUUAUUUAGACAUCUUUCACUAACUGAACUACUGGUGUUUUCAGGAGAAGAACGACUGUUUUUGCUUCCUGAAUGAGGCAACAGUGAAAUAGAAGCUAACAAUGAUGAACAGGUAGAACUACAAAGUUCCUUCCCCUAAGAGCUCAUUUUCUCAGCAAGUGAGGGGAACAUUUUAGUAUUUUACCUGCUGCCUUUGGCUCUAUUUUCUGAAUUUUCUGAUUUAGGGCUGUUUGUUCAUGCCUUUCCAUGUUUAUGAGGGGCUAUAAGCUGUAUAUUUCCAAAG
This 1042-nucleotide long non-coding RNA is filed under the name Takifugu rubripes (torafugu). RNAcentral's name for it is "lncRNA (ENSTRUG00000032772.1)". Lineage: Eukaryota; Metazoa; Chordata; Actinopteri; Tetraodontiformes; Tetraodontidae. The record is from RNAcentral.